GGUUGACCUCGGAUCAGGUAGGAGUACCC
RNAcentral lists this ribosomal RNA (29 nucleotides) under Daldinia vernicosa. Its description in RNAcentral is "partial 28S ribosomal RNA". The record is from RNAcentral. Lineage: Eukaryota; Fungi; Ascomycota; Sordariomycetes; Xylariales; Hypoxylaceae.